RNAcentral lists this unclassified non-coding RNA (1223 nucleotides) under Hevea brasiliensis (rubber tree). The record is from RNAcentral. Lineage: Eukaryota; Viridiplantae; Streptophyta; Magnoliopsida; Malpighiales; Euphorbiaceae.
GCGUAAUCUCCAAUCUGCAUUCUGAUAUUCUUUGUUCGCUGUUACUUCACAAAAAUGUUGUAGCAGAUGCUCCAGACUGUUUCUUUCCAAUUUCAAAAUUCUCGAUGCCUGGCCAGUAUCGAACAUAUUGCAUACAUAUAUGCCAAAGUCACGUUGAAGCCACACAAUAUCGCGAUCAGCACCAUGCAUCACCUUUUUCUUCUUGUGAUCCUUAAAAACAUCUCUCAGAUAAGGGCCAAUGUGUACACGGAGCUUCAGAGUGUCAACAACAAAAUCUUCAGUUCUAGUUGAUAUCUGCAUCAAGCAUGUCAAUCCUUGAAAAGAUCUAUAUUGGUUAUGCUCCAAAUCAACUGCAAACUCAUCCACAGAACGCAACUUGUUUGCUAACAGCUUCAGAUCUUUAACCUCUUCCACAAGCUUGAAUGGAGUAUCCUCUAACGGAGGAGGUUUAACAGGCUCAAUAAUGCCAGCAGUCUCAACAAAGUCUGACGGAGUGAACUUCUCCAGAGGAUGCACAAACCUAGAACCAUCCUCACUUCUCUGUAACCAAACAUGCUCAAAUGGCUGAUUUGUAUUGUUAACAAUGAUUUUAUACGCAUCCUGUGGCUUAGGGAUGGUGGGUAUAUGAAAUGGAAUCUUAGGCUUCCCUUUGACAGCCACUUUCACCUUCUCUUCACUCUUCUUCUUCUUCCUACCAACCAAUUGAAACCCACUUUCAGAAUCAUCCUCCAUCUUCAUUCCAGUCUCCUCUUCUUUCUUUCUCAACAGCUUAAACUCAUCUAACGACGAAGCGAGUUUCUCCAAAACAUCGUCAUUUAUGUUCACAAGCCAUUCUUCGCUCUCCUCAUCAUCUGGAUCCUCCGGACACGAAAUGGGUUUUCCCCAUAGCUCUGAUAAUUGCCCAACUUUGUCCAAGAUUUCCUUAGAUUUCUUAUCGAUUUGUGAAAUAGGAGUCCUGAAUUCGCUGAAAUUGUUGUAGAAAUGAAAGUCUCUAUCGGUAGGGAUUCCUCUUGAAGAACCAGAGAGCUUUGUAACCGCAGAUGGUAAUGGGCCACUUGUGACUUUGCUUAACGUAUCCUCGCCGUUACCUUCAGGUGAAUCGAUCUCCAUUGAUGAGAUUCAGAAAAACAAUGGAACCCUUUUCGGUUAUAGGAUUCACCCGUUGAUGAGGAAGAGGGGUUUUUGGCUUUAGGGUUAGGGUUUUACUGUACGUAUCAAAUUUG